AUUGAACGCUGGCGGAAUGCUUUACACAUGCAAGUCGAACGGCAGCACGGGGGCAGCCCUGGUGGCGAGUGGCGAACGGGUGAGUAAUACAUCGGAACGUGCCCGGUCGUGGGGGAUAACGUAGCGAAAGUUACGCUAAUACCGCAUACGAUCUGAGGAUGAAAGCGGGGGACCUUCGGGCCUCGCGCGAUCGGAGCGGCCGAUGUCAGAUUAGGUAGUUGGUGGGGUAAAGGCCUACCAAGCCGACGAUCUGUAGCUGGUCUGAGAGGACGGCCAGCCACACUGGGACUGAGACACGGCCCAGACUCCUACGGGAGGCAGCAGUGGGGAAUUUUGGACAAUGGGCGCAAGCCUGAUCCAGCCAUUCCGCGUGCAGGACGAAGGCCUUCGGGUUGUAAACUGCUUUUGUACGGAACGAAAAGGCUCUGGCUAAUACCUGGGGCUCAUGACGGUACCGUAAGAAUAAGCACCGGCUAACUACGUG
RNAcentral lists this ribosomal RNA (484 nucleotides) under uncultured bacterium. Its description in RNAcentral is "partial 16S ribosomal RNA". It matches the Rfam family "Bacterial small subunit ribosomal RNA", at positions 30 to 507 of the family's 1533-position model. The record is from RNAcentral.